RNAcentral lists this ribosomal RNA (774 nucleotides) under uncultured Neocallimastigales. RNAcentral describes it as "partial large subunit ribosomal RNA". It matches the Rfam family "Eukaryotic large subunit ribosomal RNA", at positions 24 to 647 of the family's 3401-position model. The record is from RNAcentral. Lineage: Eukaryota; Fungi; Neocallimastigomycota; Neocallimastigomycetes; Neocallimastigales.
GUAGUCUCGCACAGAUGCAUAUCAAUAAGCGGAGGAAAAGAAACUAACAAGGAUUCCCCUAGUAACGGCGAGUGAAGCGGGAAGAGCUCAAAUUUGAAAUCUUAAAGGGUUUCCCUUUACGAAUUGUAGUUUAAAGAAGUGUUUUCUGUUGAGGUUUUGGUAAAAGUUCUUUGGAAUAGGACAUCAUAGAGGGUGAGAAUCCCGUAUUUGACCUUUACUUUCAACUUUGUGAUACACUUUCAAAGAGUCGGACUGUUUGGGAAUGCAGUCCAAAAUGGGUGGUAAAUUUCAUCUAAAGCUAAAUAUUGGCGAGAGACCGAUAGCGAACAAGUACCGUGAGGGAAAGAUGAAAAGAACUUUGAAAAGAGAGUUAAACAGUACGUGAAAUUGUCAAAAGGGAAGCGUUUGACACCAGUGUUGUUUUUCUGAAAAUCAAUUAAAGAACUGUUUAUGCUAAGUUGUUUAGACUUUAUCAGCUAUCUGCUUAGUUUUGAGCUUUUCUUUAAUGCACUUUUCAGUUAACAAGUCAACAUCAAUUUCUUUUGCUGUAAAAAAGCUUGAGGAAGGUGGCUUGAGAUUCGUCUUAAGUGUUUAUAGCCUCUUGCCUAUGCAGUCGGAGAGAUUGAGGUCUGCAGCGUAGAUCCUUCGGGGCUAAAUGCAUUUGUGCUAAGUUAUAGCAUUUUAUAGACAACUUGUUGACUAUGAUUUGUCUUGUAGCUUACUCGCUUAUGUUAUUUUACCUACGCUUAGGAUGUUGACGCAUGAGAUAUACGC